This 342-nucleotide unclassified non-coding RNA is filed under the name Hevea brasiliensis (rubber tree). Lineage: Eukaryota; Viridiplantae; Streptophyta; Magnoliopsida; Malpighiales; Euphorbiaceae. The record is from RNAcentral.
GGAGGAUUGCUUUUAAUACGAGUUUUUGAGAAUGGGUUGCGUAAGUGCUCUGAUUAUGGCAAAAAGUCCCCGUAUUUAUGAGAGUUGAGAGUUGCGAAAAGUGGCAUAAACUAACGCGUAAUUUUGAUUGGGUGCCGUAUCAGUUCUCCCUGUCCCGGUUAGAAUGUUCUUCAAGAAAGAGCCGAGUUUGCAUUUUUCGGGCGGCUGGCGGUGACCGUUUAAAACUUUAAAUAUGACAAUGACAUGAUCAAUGUAUCCCAUUAUUUUUUUCUCUUCUCGAAGCAGGAAGACGGCAAUGACACGAUCGAUAUAUCCCAAAUGAUUUGAAUAUUUGAAUUUGUC